UACGAAGGGGGCUAGCGUUGCUCGGAAUGACUGGGCGUAAAGGGCGUGUAGGCGGUUUGUACAGUCAGAUGUGAAAGCCCCGGGCUUAACCGGGGAGCGGCAUUUGAAACGUGCAGACUAGAGUGCAGGAGAGGGAUGUGGAAUUCCCAGUGUAGAGGUGAAAUGCGUAGAUAUUGGGAGGAACACCAGUGGCGAAGGCGGC
This 202-nucleotide ribosomal RNA is filed under the name uncultured bacterium. Its description in RNAcentral is "partial 16S ribosomal RNA". It matches the Rfam family "Bacterial small subunit ribosomal RNA", at positions 524 to 725 of the family's 1533-position model. The record is from RNAcentral.